This 465-nucleotide ribosomal RNA is filed under the name uncultured bacterium. RNAcentral describes it as "partial 16S ribosomal RNA". It matches the Rfam family "Bacterial small subunit ribosomal RNA", at positions 338 to 795 of the family's 1533-position model. The record is from RNAcentral.
CCUACGGGUGGCAGCAGUGGGGAAUAUUGCGCAAUGGGCGAAAGCCUGACGCAGCGACGCCGCGUGAGGGAUGAAGGUCUUCGGAUCGUAAACCUCUGUCAGCAGGGCAGAACGGUCACUGUGCUAAUCAGCAGUGAAUUGACGGUACCUGCAAAGGAAGCACCGGCUAACUCCGUGCCAGCAGCCGCGGUAAUACGGAGGGUGCGAGCGUUAAUCGGAAUUACUGGGCGUAAAGCGCUCGUAGGCGGUAGGUCAAGUCAAGGGUGAAAUCCCCGGGCUCAACGUGGGAACUGCCUUUGAAACUGGCAAACUGGAGUGUGUGAGAGGAUAGUGGAAUUCGAGGUGGAGGAGUGAAAUGCGUAGAUAUCUGGAGGAACAUCAGUGGCGAAGGCGACUAUCUGGCACAUAACUGACGCUGAGGAGCGAAAGCGUGGGUAGCAAACAGGAUUAGAUACCCCUGUAGUC